This 72-nucleotide transfer RNA is filed under the name Camelus bactrianus (Bactrian camel). It matches the Rfam family "tRNA". From Rfam's summary of the family: Transfer RNA (tRNA) molecules are approximately 80 nucleotides in length. Their secondary structure includes four short double-helical elements and three loops (D, anti-codon, and T loops). Lineage: Eukaryota; Metazoa; Chordata; Mammalia; Artiodactyla; Camelidae. The record is from Rfam by way of RNAcentral. RNAcentral also lists the same sequence under 1 other name.
GAGGGUAUAGCUCAGUGGUAGAGUGCAUGCUUAACAUGCACAAGGUCCUAGGUUCAAGCCCCAGUACCUCCA